This 303-nucleotide ribosomal RNA is filed under the name uncultured Holophagae bacterium. Its description in RNAcentral is "bacterial SSU rRNA". It matches the Rfam family "Bacterial small subunit ribosomal RNA", at positions 1078 to 1382 of the family's 1533-position model. The record is from RNAcentral. Lineage: Bacteria; Pseudomonadati; Acidobacteriota; Holophagae.
GGUUAAGUCCGCAACGAGCGCAACCCUUGCCCUUAGUUGCCAUCGGGUCACGCCGGGAACUCUAAGGGGACGCCCCGGACAACGGGGAGGAAGGUGGGGAUGACGUCAAGUCAGCAUGGCCUUUAUGUCCAGGGCUACACACGUGCUACAAUGGUUGGUACAAAGGGUUGCCAAGCCGUGAGGCGGAGCCAAUCUCAAAAAGCCAACCUCAGUUCGGAUUGCAGUCUGCAACUCGACUGCAUGAAGUUGGAAUCGCUAGUAAUCGCUGAUCAGCAGGCAGCGGUGAAUACGUUCCCGGGCCUU